Aquila chrysaetos chrysaetos is the source of this 1173-nucleotide long non-coding RNA. RefSeq lists it as uncharacterized. The transcript has 4 exons. NCBI's taxonomy places the organism in Eukaryota, Metazoa, Chordata, Aves, Accipitriformes, Accipitridae. The record is from RefSeq and is a predicted model, not a curated record.
UUCGCUUAAACUCGUGUUAUUUAUGCGUAAUUUUGCCGCCCGUCUCACAACAGCCGGGGCUGAGAUGGCAGUUAAUUAGCUCGGGAUAAGGAAUUGCCCGAAAUUAAACAGACAAACAACAUCGGCGUGUUCGCUCGUACUGCGGGAGGAACGGGCUGGCAGUCGCGGGGCGCGAUUGAAUGAAUAAAAGUCGAUUUUCCCCUUCGUCCCUCGGGGAAGCUCGAGGGAAAGAAAGCGCAUCCUCUUGCAGAGAAAAAGCUCGCGGUAUUCCUAACGAUCCCGGCACCCCGCGCUUUAUACGGGGACCAGCUCCGGCAAAUCCUUCUCGUCCGGGGCGAAGCACACCAUCGGACCCACACGUAUAACAGGAAAAAGACGGCCAACGGUGCGGGAGAAUUUAGAGAGUCUUUGUCUGUCGCUUAGAAGAUGUAAAUCCCCGGGUCUUAAACGGAGUCGUUACUCCGUUCUCUGCUGGUGAAAAUGCGUAAAAAUCCCCUUUCUGGGUACAGAUGCCAAGCGCUCUCCCCAGGGUUGCAAGCGCCGGGUGUCUUGAUUUGACGUCAGGAUUUUGGGGAGAGAGGAACGUUUGGGAAAAGUCUUUGCGUUUUAUGUCUUCGAUAAAAUAGUUAUUGAGGCACAUGUAAAUCAGUGAAGCCGGAUCGGGGCAGCUUUCCCGGGCUACCUCCAACCCCAAAUUUUCAUCCCUCGUGUGAUCUAAGCAGGGAUGUAAUAACUGGAGGAUUUUCACCAUUAUAUUUCGUUUUAAAACAAGUGGACAGACAGUUUGGAGACAAUCAUUUAAAACUCCGCAUCUCUUUGGAGAAAGGUCGCACUGGAAAAUGCUGAUCUGAAGUCUGACCGGACAACAGGCAUCUAAAACAAGCAGUUUGUGGGGAAAUCACAGCUAGAAAGGACAUCUAAAGGAAAAGAAACAGAGAGGUCUGGGAGAUGUUUGCCUUUCAGAAACGCACCGAGAAGCUGGCAAGCGAAGUGCCGAAAUGCAAAACUGAAAUCAGUUUCAAGGUGUGUACAACUGAACACGGAAACCUGAAAAUGCUUCAGACCUGAGCACCCAGCCUCGCAGCAGCAACCGAUACCUGCGCCCACCUGGGUCUCUCUCUGUCUCCAGAGGAUGCUGAGGUCUAGGUACAGGGAACGUGCUGGAGGAUCAGG